This 253-nucleotide ribosomal RNA is filed under the name uncultured bacterium. Its description in RNAcentral is "partial 16S ribosomal RNA". It matches the Rfam family "Bacterial small subunit ribosomal RNA", at positions 524 to 776 of the family's 1533-position model. The record is from RNAcentral.
UACGGAGGGAGCUAGCGUUGUUCGGAAUUACUGGGCGUAAAGCGCGCGUAGGCGGCUUUGUAAGUUAGAGGUGAAAGCCCGGGGCUCAACCCCGGAACUGCCUUUAAGACUGCAUCGCUUGAAUCCAGGAGAGGUGAGUGGAAUUCCGAGUGUAGAGGUGAAAUUCGUAGAUAUUCGGAAGAACACCAGUGGCGAAGGCGGCUCACUGGACUGGUAUUGACGCUGAAACGCGAAAGCGUGGGGAGCAAACAGG